This 565-nucleotide ribosomal RNA is filed under the name Saccharomyces sp. Its description in RNAcentral is "eukaryotic LSU rRNA". It matches the Rfam family "Eukaryotic large subunit ribosomal RNA", at positions 66 to 645 of the family's 3401-position model. Lineage: Eukaryota; Fungi; Ascomycota; Saccharomycetes; Saccharomycetales; Saccharomycetaceae. The record is from RNAcentral.
CAACCGGGAUUGCCUUAGUAACGGCGAGUGAAGCGGCAAAAGCUCAAAUUUGAAAUCUGGUACCUUCGGUGCCCGAGUUGUAAUUUGGAGAGGGCAACUUUGGGGCCGUUCCUUGUCUAUGUUCCUUGGAACAGGACGUCAUAGAGGGUGAGAAUCCCGUGUGGCGAGGAGUGCGGUUCUUUGUAAAGUGCCUUCGAAGAGUCGAGUUGUUUGGGAAUGCAGCUCUAAGUGGGUGGUAAAUUCCAUCUAAAGCUAAAUAUUGGCGAGAGACCGAUAGCGAACAAGUACAGUGAUGGAAAGAUGAAAAGAACUUUGAAAAGAGAGUGAAAAAGUACGUGAAAUUGUUGAAAGGGAAGGGCAUUUGAUCAGACAUGGUGUUUUGUGCCCUCUGCUCCUUGUGGGUAGGGGAAUCUCGCAUUUCACUGGGCCAGCAUCAGUUUUGGUGGCAGGAUAAAUCCAUAGGAAUGUAGCUUGCCUCGGUAAGUAUUAUAGCCUGUGGGAAUACUGCCAGCUGGGACUGAGGACUGCGACGUAAGUCAAGGAUGCUGGCAUAAUGGUUAUAUGC